This 838-nucleotide unclassified non-coding RNA is filed under the name Hevea brasiliensis (rubber tree). The record is from RNAcentral. Lineage: Eukaryota; Viridiplantae; Streptophyta; Magnoliopsida; Malpighiales; Euphorbiaceae.
GUUUGAGAUAAAAACUCUCUUCUUUCAGAGAGAUUUUUUCUGAAGAGAAGCUUCUUCCUCUGGCUCCCGAGUAGUUCUCCCUGCCUAUGCGAGGCCUACCUUGUCCCUUUCAAGGAAGGAGAGGUCCUUCUCCCACUCAGAAAUGUGGGUUUAGCCCUCCCAUUUUUUUGGGUUGGACGUAGAUACUAUUUUGCUAUGGGUUUUGUAGAUCUAUGGUUACAUGUGGGACUUUUUGUGAUCUGUGGUUAAGGCAUUGUAACAUGGUUGUGGUUUUGUCCUUUCUUUUUCUGUUCUUGUUAUGCUCUUGCAAGUGGAGGUGAAGCUUCCCUUUAAAGCUACUACUCUCGGGACAUAUCGGCACCACCAUCCAUUUGUUUCACCAUGUCGGGACAUAUCUGCCAGACUUUGUCUUCUUCCCCUGCACCUCCUACGGUUCUGAGCUUUUCUCUUGGUUGGUCAUGUAUCGUGGCUCUAUUCACUUGCAGUUUCUGGAAAUAAUUUUUAGGGGCCUCAUUCAUCCGGCUGUAGCUUGACAUGGCUCCCUUUGCACUCCUUGGCUUUCGUACCCCUAGUGAUUGGCUAUCGGAGAUGGUGCUAGUGUUCCCCUUUUGCUGCUAUUUGGUUUCCUGCCCUUACUAGGUUUUGGUAAUGGGUUUGGGCUGUAAGAUCUUAGGUUGUGAACCAUAGGCUUGAGUUAGCUUGGGCCUUGAGCUUCGUUUGUUUUUCCCUGCUAUCAGGAUUUGUUUCUAGCCCUUCUAUCCCUUUUAUGUAUGGGCAUGUACUAAAUGUUUUCAUCUAAUGAAUUUUUCUCUAUGCCUUUCGAUUAAAAAAAAAAAAA